UUAAGGGGUUGAUUAGCUAGUUGAUUAAUCACCUUUAUAAGCUAGAAAGACCUUAAGCUAGGUCAUGAAAUCAUUUAGAACCGAGACCCUCAAAAGAGUCCCCUAAAAACAGUUUUUAGUUUUAAGUUAGGAGUGAGGGUCAACUUUAAAUAGUCAUAUCUUUUAGCUCAAAAUGAAUUAGGUGGACCAUUACCUAUCCAAUUAAAGGUAUCUGAGUCCUCUUUCCAACGCCAC
RNAcentral lists this long non-coding RNA (234 nucleotides) under Solanum tuberosum (potato). RNAcentral describes it as "long non-coding RNA (STUB_LNC003706)". The record is from RNAcentral. Lineage: Eukaryota; Viridiplantae; Streptophyta; Magnoliopsida; Solanales; Solanaceae.